AUGAACGCUGGCGGCGUGCUUAACACAUGCAAGUCGAACGAUGAAGCCCAGCUUGCUGGGUGGAUUAGUGGCGAACGGGUGAGUAACACGUGAGUAACCUGCCCUUGACUCUGGGAUAAGCGCUGGAAACGGCGUCUAAUACCGGAUACGAGCUUCCACCGCAUGGUGAGUUGCUGGAAAGAAUUUCGGUCAAGGAUGGACUCGCGGCCUAUCAGGUAGUUGGUGAGGUAACGGCUCACCAAGCCGACGACGGGUAGCCGGCCUGAGAGGGUGACCGGCCACACUGGGACUGAGACACGGCCCAGACUCCUACGGGAGGCAGCAGUGGGGAAUAUUGCACAAUGGGCGCAAGCCUGAUGCAGCAACGCCGCGUGAGGGACGAAGGCCUUCGGGUCGUAAACCUCUUUUAGCAGGGAAGAAGCGAAAGUGACGGUACCUGCAGAAAAAGCACCGGCUAACUACGU
This 464-nucleotide ribosomal RNA is filed under the name uncultured bacterium. RNAcentral's name for it is "partial 16S ribosomal RNA". It matches the Rfam family "Bacterial small subunit ribosomal RNA", at positions 29 to 506 of the family's 1533-position model. The record is from RNAcentral.